This 404-nucleotide ribosomal RNA is filed under the name Actinomycetes bacterium. RNAcentral describes it as "Actinobacteria bacterium partial 16S ribosomal RNA". It matches the Rfam family "Bacterial small subunit ribosomal RNA", at positions 355 to 776 of the family's 1533-position model. Lineage: Bacteria; Bacillati; Actinomycetota; Actinomycetes. The record is from RNAcentral.
UGGGGAAUAUUGGACAAUGGGCGCAAGCCUGAUCCAGCCAUGCCGCGUGAGUGAUGAAGGCCCUAGGGUUGUAAAGCUCUUUCACCGGUGAAGAUAAUGACGGUAACCGGAGAAGAAGCCCCGGCUAACUUCGUGCCAGCAGCCGCGGUAAUACGAAGGGGGCUAGCGUUGUUCGGAUUUACUGGGCGUAAAGCGCACGUAGGCGGACUUUUAAGUCAGGGGUGAAAUCCCGGGGCUCAACCCCGGAACUGCCUUUGAUACUGGAAGUCUUGAGUAUGGGAGAGGUGAGUGGAAUUCCGGGUGUAGAGGUGAAAUUCGUAGAUAUUCGGAGGAACACCAGUGGCGAAGGCGGCUCACUGGACCAUUACUGACGCUGAGGUGCGAAAGCGUGGGGAGCAAACAGG